GUUUUGUAAGAUCAGUUCAGUUAAAAGAAAGUUACAGCUUCUUUCAACUCUCUGUCAUUUUGCAAUUAGAGACCCAACGAUCGCCAAGUCCUUCACGGAAUGACCAACACACAAGGAUUGCUUCGGCUUCUCUUUCCUCUGUUUCGGUUUCGCAAUUGCUGGGUUUCUGGGAUUUUUUUUUUUUUUUUUUUUUGGGAUGGAGAGCUUCGGCUGAGUUUCGGCUAGGCAAUGGUGUUCUUCGGAUACAUAGGGUAAAGUGAGUUUUGAUUAAUCUGAAACUGUGUUGUUGUGCUGUACAGUUUGCUUGAGAGAGAGUGUGUGAAGGCAAUUAUUGUGAAGAAAGAAGAAAGAAGAAAUGUUGAAACAGUCAAUCUGUGAAGAAAGUAGGAGAAAGGGAGGAGCUGGUCAGCUGCUGACUUGAUGGAGACAAAGUCCUAAUGCGGGUCUCACAAAGAUGCAACUUGCAAGUAUUAACAAAAUCAUUUAAAAGUGGUUUAGGAACAAGUAGCAACAAUGAAUUGGAAGGUAAUUUCCUGCUGUUGGAGAAAUUGGAGAUCAGAAUCAUCAGAUAACAAAGCUUGUUCACUCCAGUGGGGACGCUUCUUCCAGUUGCAAAUUUGUUCCAAAUUUCCAAUGUCAUGUUUCCAAUGAUUAUGCCGAAAACACAAAGAAAGGGUUCCAUGGCUUUGUUUCUACUCCUGCUAGCAUGAUGGAGAAAGUUCAUUCAAGAAGUUCCAUGGCUUCUGAAUCAAAUGUUGUAGCCCCGUACGAAAGGAAUACCACCACCAAAGAAAUUAAGGGUUCAACAACAACAACCUCGUGCUAUUGGUUCUGAUCUGCCAAUUGCAAGAAGAGCUUCACUUCAUCGAUUUUGAGAAGAGAAAGGAUAGGGCGGCAGCAAAUGCACCAUACCAAGUGAACCCACCUUCACCAGCUGCACCCAAGCCUGAGGAAAGCAUUCCAUGGAUUGAGGUGGGAGUUCAAUCUUCAAACCAGCUUGAGCUCAAGUUAUAGUUACCACCUGAUCACCAUCUUCUAUGACUUAGGUUACACCUCCCUCUAGUGCCUUAAAAAGUUAAAAUCCUAACUAUACUUGUCAGCUCUUCUGUACCUUUUUUGGGUUUAAUUAUUUUAGAAUCUAUGCAUAUAUUUUUUUAGAUUAGUGAGUAUGGCCCAAGAAGAGAAGAAUUUGUAAAUUUCAUUUAUUAAGUGGAUCUGAUUUCUGAAGAUUUGAAA
This is a long non-coding RNA of Quercus lobata, 1236 nucleotides long. RefSeq lists it as uncharacterized. The transcript has 3 exons. NCBI's taxonomy places the organism in Eukaryota, Viridiplantae, Streptophyta, Magnoliopsida, Fagales, Fagaceae. The record is from RefSeq and is a predicted model, not a curated record.